This 357-nucleotide small nuclear RNA is filed under the name Nannospalax galili (Upper Galilee mountains blind mole rat). RNAcentral's name for it is "7SK RNA (ENSNGAG00000004657.1)". It matches the Rfam family "7SK RNA". From Rfam's summary of the family: 7SK was discovered as an abundant small nuclear RNA in the mid-70s but a possible function has only recently been suggested. The record is from RNAcentral. Lineage: Eukaryota; Metazoa; Chordata; Mammalia; Rodentia; Spalacidae.
GGAUGUGAGGGUGAUCUGGCUGUUACAUCUGUCACCCCAUUGAUCGCCAGGGUUGAUUCAGCUGAUCUGGCUGGCUAGGCAGGUGUCCCCUUCCUCCCUCAAUGCUCCACGUGCGUUCCUCCUGAAGCUGCUAGCUAGGUCGAAGAGGAUGACUUUCCCCCAUAGAGGAGGACCGGUCUUCAGUCAAGGUAGCUGCGCUCCCCUGCUAGAACCUCCAAACAAGCUCUCAAGGCCUGUAUGUAUCUUAUGUACACCCAUGUCAUGCAAUGCCUGUAGUGGUCAGAAGAGGGUAUCAAAUCCCCUGGAACUGGAGUUACAGACAGUUGUUUGCUGCCAUAUCGGUGCUGGGAUCCUAAU